Molecule: non-coding RNA, 24 nt
Filed under: Drosophila melanogaster (fruit fly)
Lineage: Eukaryota; Metazoa; Arthropoda; Insecta; Diptera; Drosophilidae
Source: RNAcentral
GACCGAAUGAUUUAACCCGGAGAC